Molecule: long non-coding RNA, 1417 nt
Organism: Chelonia mydas (Green sea turtle)
Lineage: Eukaryota; Metazoa; Chordata; Testudines; Cheloniidae
Exons: 3
Source: RefSeq, a predicted model, not a curated record
GCUAGAGGGCGAUCUGCGGUGGGAAACGGCAGCUCCAGUCCUGGCCUGGCCAGGGGGAGGCGACGCAGGGACCGGCUGGGCCAGGGGCAGGGGAAACACAGAGACCGGCUGGGCCAGGGGGACGGGACGCAGGGACCGGCUGGGCCAGGGGGUCGGGACACAGAGAGACCGGCUGGGCCAGGGGGUCGGGACGCAGGGACCGGCUGGGCCAGGGGGUCGGGACGCAGGGACCGGCUGGGCCAGGGGGACACAGAGAGACCGGCUGGGCCAGGGUGGGACUAUGUAGAGACUGGCUGGGCCCGCGAGGGAAUGACGCAGAGACCGGCUGGGCGUGUGGGACAACAUAGAGACUAGCUAGGCCAGGUGUGUGUGUGGUGCGGGGGCGCUCUCAGCCAUCCCCGGGACCCUCUCUGGCUCAGGGGUCUUGUCCCACGCCAGCCUGGCUGCAGGGGACUCUUGCUUUGCAGCAUAGCCGAAGGCUGAGUCUUCUGGGGGUGCCUUUAGCCCCCCCACCUUGCUCCUGAGCCUAUAUUGCCUCUACCUCUCUGACCCUGGAUGCUACUCAGCGCCAUGGGGCACCUCUAGGUUGCCGGUUCGAACCCCAUGGGGUGAGACACAUCUAGCUGGGCUCAGCUUGGCUCCGACAGUCCCUCAAUUAGGGGUCUCCGAAUCGAGGCGCAAACGGGCCACAGUCACUGACCUCCCCCCUCCCAGCUAAUUCCAUGGACCGUGGUGUCUGGGUGCUUUGCAAUCUGGAAGCGGUUUAUCCUCUCACUACCUUGUGGGGCAGGGCAGGGCCACUACCUCCAUUGGCCAGAUGGGGAAACUGAGGCACCAAGAGGCUAAAGGUCUCUCUGGCCGAACAGGGCGCUGAACCUGAGCCAGAUGACUGGACACCCACCCACGGGACACCCACCCAGCCUUCCGUGGUCCCCACUCGCUUCCCAGAGCUGGGGAGAGAACUCAGGACUCGUCAUUUGCAGGCCCCCCUGGCCUAAGCGCCCGGGAUCCCUCCCCACCCGGAGUGGGCUGAGUCUAACACAAGCCAACAGCUGGGAGUUGCCGCUGGACAAAUUCAGCCUGGAAAUAAGAUCAGUGAGUGACGUCCCAGACUGUUUGCUCACCGGGGCGGGAGCUGUUCCUGGGCCGCAUCGGGCACGAGGGGGGUGCUGAUCUCGAUAAAGGCUGCAGCAACAAAGGGAACGUCGCCACGGAGUCAAAGUCCGACUGGCUGCAUGGAUCUAAGGUGUACGUUCGCCCAGGUUCUGGGGUUCAACGUUCAGAAUGGUGUCAGGUUACCUGGUCUAAAGUACCCGUGGAUAUUCUUAUUAGCUGCAUAUAUGCUGCACCCUGCUGAAGUCUGAGCCUCACUCGGCAGCGUGGGGCAGUGAGUUCCACCCGCCAACCUGCACUGUGU